ACGAACGCUGGCGGCGUGCUUAACACAUGCAAGUCGCACGGAAAGGCCCUGCUUUUGUGGGGUGCUCGAGUGGCGAACGGGUGAGUAACACGUGAGUAACCUGCCCUUGACUUUGGGAUAACUUCAGGAAACUGGGGCUAAUACCGGAUAGGAGCUCCUGCUGCAUGGUGGGGGUUGGAAAGUUUCGGCGGUUGGGGAUGGACUCGCGGCUUAUCAGCUUGUUGGUGGGGUAGUGGCUUACCAAGGCUUUGACGGGUAGCCGGCCUGAGAGGGUGACCGGCCACAUUGGGACUGAGAUACGGCCCAGACUCCUACGGGAGGCAGAAGUGGGGAAUAUUGCACAAUGGGCGGAAGCCUGAUGCAGCAACGCAGCGUGCGGGAUGACGGCCUUCGGGUUGUAAACCGAUUUCGCCUGUGACGAAGCGUGAGUGACGGUAAUGGGUAAAGAAGCACCGGCUAACUACGUG
Molecule: ribosomal RNA, 467 nt
Filed under: uncultured bacterium
Lineage: Bacteria
Description: partial 16S ribosomal RNA
Rfam family: Bacterial small subunit ribosomal RNA
Source: RNAcentral